UAUUAUUAGGUUAGUGCAAAAGUAAUUGUGGUUUUUGGCAUCACUUUCAAUGGCAAAAACCGCAAUUCCUUUUGCACCAACAUAAUAAAUUCUC
MicroRNA precursor from Chlorocebus sabaeus (green monkey), 94 nucleotides. Lineage: Eukaryota; Metazoa; Chordata; Mammalia; Primates; Cercopithecidae. The record is from Ensembl.